Molecule: small nucleolar RNA, 260 nt
Organism: Acomys russatus (golden spiny mouse)
Lineage: Eukaryota; Metazoa; Chordata; Mammalia; Rodentia; Muridae
Source: RefSeq, a predicted model, not a curated record
CUGGCUGAUGAGACUAAGGCGAAUGCGACCACCUACUGACUCUUGGCUGGUGGGGGGUGGGGUGGGGACAACUAUGGUGAGAUCUGAAAUCUUGGUGGGGGUACAGAAGCCUGACUCCCUACUGUAAGGCCAGAUCGAUAGGACUGCUGGCCUUGCCUUCAUGUCUGCUGCCACCAUAGCUCUAGCAGCAUCCUGUAGGGAGGCCCACAGUGGGUAGCCAAAGUGUGAGUAGCCAUGUGAGCGCAACCUUGAAUCUGACA